RNAcentral lists this ribosomal RNA (1065 nucleotides) under Triticum aestivum (bread wheat). Its description in RNAcentral is "partial small subunit ribosomal RNA". The record is from RNAcentral. Lineage: Eukaryota; Viridiplantae; Streptophyta; Magnoliopsida; Poales; Poaceae.
AUGACCACUAUCCGCACUCUUCUUGCCGUGGUUUCUGUUCGUCAGUGGUCUAUCUCUCAACUUGAUGUUCAGAACGCUUUUCUCAAUGGCGAGUUGCGUGAGGAGGUUUAUAUGCAGCCACCACCGGGGUACUAUGCUCCUGAUGGUAUGGUCUGUAGACUUCGCCGCUCCCUCUAUGGUCUCAAACAGGCCCCUCGCGCCUGGUUUGAGCGCUUCGCCUCUGUGGUGACUGCCGCUGGUUUCUUGCCCAGUGAUCAUGAUCCCGCGUUGUUUGUUCACACGUCUCCUCGUGGUCGGACUCUUCUCCUUCUCUAUGUUGAUGACAUGAUCAUCACUGGUGACGACUCUGAUUACAUUGCAUUCGUUAAGGCUCGCCUUCGCGACCAGUUUCUCAUGGCUGAUCUUGGUCCACUUCGCUAUUUUCUUGGGAUUGAGAUCUCCUCGACCUCUGAUGGCUUCUACAUCUCCCAAGAAAAAUAUAUUCAAGAUCUUUUUGCUCGCGCUGCUCUUGGUGAUGAGCGCACAGUUGUGACUCCUAUGGAGCUCAACGUUCAGCUUCGUGCCUCUGAUGGUGACCCUCUUCCUAAUCCCACUCGCUAUCGUCACCUUGUUGGCAGUCUUGUCUAUCUUGCUGUUACGCGUCCUGACAUCUCCUAUCCUGUCCACAUCCUGAGUCAGUUUGUUUCAGCCCCCACCUCUGUCCACUAUAGUCAUCUCCUCCGUGUUCUACGAUACCUUCGUGGCAUGAUCUCUCAGCGCCUUUUCUUUCCCCGCUCCAGCUCUCUUGAGCUCCAGGCCUACUCUGAUGCUACCUGGGCUAGUGAUCCCUCUGAUCGCCGCUCGCUGUCUGCUUAUUGUGUCUUUCUUGGUGGCUCUCUUAUUGCCUGGAAGACAAAGAAACAGACUGCAGUUUCUCGCUCGAGUACAGAGGCUGAGUUGCGAGCCAUGGCUAUGUUGACGGCUGAGGUGAUCUGGUUACGGUGGUUACUUGAGGACUUUGGUGUGUGCUACUACUUCGACUCCCUUACUGUCAGACAGUACUGGUGCUAUCAGUAUUGCACGUGA